Molecule: transfer RNA, 137 nt
Filed under: Aspergillus pseudocaelatus
Lineage: Eukaryota; Fungi; Ascomycota; Eurotiomycetes; Eurotiales; Aspergillaceae
Description: tRNA-OTHER
Rfam family: tRNA
About the family: Transfer RNA (tRNA) molecules are approximately 80 nucleotides in length.
Source: RNAcentral
GGCGAGAUGGCCGAGCGGUCCAAGGCGGUUAGUAUCACUAUCAAUAAAAUAUCUCAAUGAACGUUCACUAAUAAUCUCUCAGCUGGAGUAAGGUUCCAGUCUCGAAAGGGGCGUGGGUUCAAAUCCCACUCUCGUCA